Molecule: long non-coding RNA, 5682 nt
Organism: Dermochelys coriacea (leatherback sea turtle)
Lineage: Eukaryota; Metazoa; Chordata; Testudines; Dermochelyidae
Exons: 2
Source: RefSeq, a predicted model, not a curated record
UCAAUCUUUGGAACUCAUUGCUAGGGGAUACUAUGAAGGCCAAAAGUAUAACUGGAUUACAAAAAGAAUUAGAUAAAUUUUCAUGGAGAGUAGGUCCAUCAAUGACUAUUAGCCAAGAUCAUCAGGGUCCAUAAUUCUCUUGGUGUCCAUAAUUCUCUGACUGCUAGAAUCUUGGGACUGGAUGGCAGAGGAUGCAUCACUUGAUAGAUUGUCCUGUUCUGAUAACUUCCUCUGAAGCAUUUGACACUGGCCACUGUAAGAAGACCGAAUAUGAGGCUAGAUGGACCACUGGUUUGAGGCAGUAUGGCCAUUGUGUUCUUAUGUUGCAAAACUGAGCUCUGUGGAUAGAUAUGCAGUUACCUGACUUCACCACUAGCAUCUAAACUAGUCUGAAUUAGGAGAAGCCCAGAGCAUGUUAAGUUUCUACGGUGAACUUUAUAUAUAAAGGACCUAAUUUUCAGAUACACUGGGCAUCUGUAGCUCCCACUGAAAUCAGUAGGAGCUGUGACUCCUUAAAACUUCUGAAAAUCAGGCCAUAAAGUCUCUUAAAAGAAGACUGGUGUGGAGCUGCCAUUUUUGAGACUUUAGCAACUCUGAAAAGCUCAAUGAACUGGGCAAAUAAACAGCAAUUAGCAGGCCUGUGCACUUAUGUGGCUCUCAAACUUGGAAGGUGAGUUAUUCCUGAUGAUGAAGGCCAAGACAAUUACCCUGCCAACCUCUUUCGGGGCAUUACUCCCAUUUUAAAAUAAUGUAAUCUAGUUUCUGUAAAUCAAUUUUGCAUAUUGACUACACAAUUGCUCUGCUGGCUUUGCUUGCUUUACUUAAUGCAUCUAGAUUCAUUGUAUGUUCUUGGUUCUCACUUAGACCAAUGGAUUUUGGAUUUCUUCCUAUCAACUACAACCUAAAGGCUAUAGAGCUUAAAGUUACUUUGCUCUGUGGUUUUGGUUUUCUUUCUAUAUUACUGCAUAUGAUAUUAGGAAUGCAUCAGUUGAAGGAACUUUUAUUUUUAUAUACAAUAUAUAUAUACACACAACUUUAAAGUACUAUUCAUUAAUAGACUAUCAGAAAAUAUUUGACAUGGUUAGUGCAAGUGCUUACUUAACCAUACUGACUGUAAAACAAUUGGAACUGAAAUGGUGUGCAUGUAUUUAGCUUCUCAGCCCAGCUCAACGCAAUCCAGUCCAGACACAUGAGGAGAAGCAUGAAUUUUGCAGAGUUUGUUUUAGGAUUUGUUUUAUUUUAGCUCUAGUGGGAGAACUAAAAUAUAUCCCUUGAACUAGUCAAAUUCCAGCAUUUUGCUCUAAGUAAACGUACUAUCAAUGCAAGCAAUAAAACACUUGGAUUUUCCUCUGUUUACCCUUUAUGAAGUGAUCUUACAUUUUGAUAAUCAGGCCCUAAAUUGAUGACAAUUGGAAUAAUCCAAAUCAAAUAACAUUCCAAAACUAACCCCUCAGUACAGACUCUGAUUGCCUAUGUGUAUGGAUUUUCCUUGGCUCUACAUUAAAAUGAUGUCCUGUCAUGAGUCUUGGGUGUUCCUUAAGUCCUACCCAUAAUUUCAUGAUCCUCACCACAGAUUCAAAUUUCACACUCUGCUUGCAGCUCUAGAAUCUUCUGUUAAUGUUACAAAUUCAGUUUGGCUGCUUAUAAACAUAAACAUGCAGCAAUUAUGAUGAAGCAGCAUUGGGACACAGUGACUUCUUCAAGAAUGAACAGAAGUAUAGUAUAGAGAGGGAUUGGCUACUUCAUAUAAGAGGCUUAGUGUUACUGUAAGCACUUUUUUACUCAAUGAGUUUGGAUGAAGAUUUAUUGAGUAAACAGCUGGUCCAUUUAAAAAUGCUUUAGAGAUGGUACCAGACAUGAUGAGAGGUACUGUUUCCUGGACAGUUCACAACUUUUUGUCAUUUAGGCAUGAAUUCACAGAAGUACUCAACCACCUAAUCCCCAGAUUUAGGUGCCUAAAUGCUGUUUUUAGGCACCAUUGCAAUCCACAAAACUCCUACUCAGCUGCUGAUAAAACCCUCUAGGUGCCUAAAAUCACUCAGCAUCUACUUUUUUGCAGUAAAAGUUCCCUAGACACCUAUGUUUCUGCCUCUGGGCCUGUGCAUCCCUGCCUUACUCUUGGCAUUCAGGCACCUAUCUCCCACUUAAGACACAGAGCAAAUUCACAAACCAGAGGAAGAUAGGUUCUCCUCUGCCUUACAUGCCAGGCCAAUCCCCAUGCUCAGAGGCUACAUAGAUCUACACAGCCAAGGAGUAAAACCUCCUUCAUAACCUUUUUCACAGUGGUUAGGGAAUUCAUGUGGGAUGGGAGGAGACACCUGGUUCAAGUUCCCCCUCUGCCUGAGGAGAAGAUAUUUUAACAGGAGUCUCACACCACCACUCUCUCUAACCCAAUUAAUAUUUAAUUAAAGUGGAAGUACUUAAACAAGAGAUUGAAGGAGACCCCCAUCAGCAUAUCCCAUAACUCAGUGGUUAGGCAGGGCAAAUCACCCAAGAGGAGGCCGAUCCCCCUUCAAAUUCCUUUUCCUCAGCUGGAAGAGGGAGUAUUUGAACCAGGGGUCUCCUACAUCCCAACUAAAUACCCUAACAAUUGGGCUAAAGGUUACAAAGGAGGUCCUCCUCCUCCUCAUCUCUUCUCCCCAGCUGUUUUAUGUAGUGCUAGCUAGUCUUUGAGCACCGCUACCAGCUCAAGCCCCUGAGUGACAUAAGUUUUGAUGACAUAGGUGGUAGUGUAGACAUAGUUGUUCCAAUUAAAGUGUUACCUCACACACAUGGGCAGCAGGUGAACCACUGGCUGGGGGAGGCUAGACCCUGGCCAGCCCUGCCCCCCCCGCCCAAGGAUUCGCCCCCUUCCCCUGCUGGGCCUUCUCCACCCCAGCCUCCAAGCACAGGUGGGUGGGUGGCACCCCCCACCCCGAGCGCAGAGCAGGUGUCGCCCCCUCCCACUGCAAGCACAGCGCAGGGCAGGUGGCGCACGGGCCCCACUCCGGCCCAGCUUCCAAGUAGAAGGCAGGCAGCCCCAGCAUCUGGGGCCCCCACAGCGUAUGGUGGCCCCAGCUACCCCAAGUCCUGACUGCCAUAACCCCAGCCCCAGCAGGCUUCUCUGAGAGGAGCAACCUGCCUGGGCUGGGAUCAAGGGGGGAAUGGCAAGCAGGGCUUUGGGGAGGAGCAUGGAUGGGGUCUCAUUGGGCUGUUUGGGGAGGCACAGCCUUCCCCAGCCUAUGCGACACGCUGCCAAUGCUCACCCACCUUGCCUCCCUUUGUAAGAGAGGCACUGUGUUCCUGUGGGACAGCUGGCAUUUUAAAGUAUCAGGUUUUUGUGUUAUCACAAAGCUACAAGUGUUGUGCACUCUCUCGUGGAACCAACCUUUAAUUAAGGAAGGUAUUCACAAUCAAAGUGCAAGCAGGUCAGACAAUCUGCUUUCUAGUCCCAAUCUGCCUCUGAAGUCUUGGGUAUUAUCUAGGAAAUUAUAUCACUGUGUGACAGUGCUGAUAGGCUAGCAUAAUAAUGUUGAACCUGGAUGCACAGCCUUCUGAAGACGCCCAACUGGUUCAGACCAUUGAUUGUUAGGCAUGUAUACCCAUGGGCACCCAAGAAGGCCAGCUAUCCUCUUUCUAGCCUAUUUCUGGCUUCUCAAAUUUCAUGUCCCAUUGUUGGUUCCCCAGUGAUAUUAUUCUGGUGUUUUUGUGGGCUUAAUUUAGACAUGAACCUUCUGAUGUAUUUUCUUCUCCUCAAGAACAGUCCCUUUCUCUUUCUUCUUGAUAAAAACCAAAUGCUAUGACUAACAAAGUGGAUGAGCUUAAUCAUGUGUCCCGAAAUACCAAUUCUAAAGGGUUUUAUAUGUUAAUUUGGUAACAUACUCAUUUCUAUGCAUAUUGCACAUAUUCAAGGACAAAUGAGAUUUCUAAUAAAUAGCAUGGAUUGAACUACAUGAAGUGAAAAUUACUAGCAGCUGGAGGGAAGGUGCUGGGAUGGCAGCUGGCCAUCAGGAAACAAUGAAGAGAUAACGAAGAGGCAGAUAAUGGAUAUCUGUCCACAGACAAAUGCCUUUUAAGUGCAGGAAGCCACAAAAUUGAACUAAAGAGACAAAUUUUUUAAAAAGAGAAAGUUAUUUUUUAAAAGUCCUAACCUCAAAGCUAGAAGAGCGGAGUGGAAAGUUGGCAAUAAUCAAUUAAGCAAACAAAGGCCACAUGGUAAAAUAAUUAAUAAAACAACAAUUAAUUUUAUUUUUAUGGCCUCUAUCCAUUUUAGCAUUCCAGGCACCUCAUAGAAGCUGCAGAGUAAAACUACCACUAAAAUACUUUCCCAACAUUAAAAUAAAAAAUAUUUUAAUGCUGCUUUUAAAACAGAUCAGAUCCUGGUCAAUUCUCAUUUCAAGUGGCUUGGAAAUGUCCCAGAUUCAGAGGCACAGAGGCUAAAAUAUAAACUACAGUACCUAAUCUAGUCCUGUAAGCCCUUCAGACCCAAACAUCCUACUUCGCUCCAAACUACAUGGGUGGGUUUAGACAGUAGAGCUCUUUGCCUAAAAAGAGGCAGAGCUAAAGAGCCCAGAUCAGCGUGUUUGGCAGCAGCUCUUUCUGCAAUCUGCUAGUGCCACGUGAGUGCCUGAGAAUCACACUGGGACUUCAUGAGAUCCAGAUUCCAGGGGUUAACUACUUUCUGUUGCUCUGAGAGAGCAAGAUGAAAUACAGGGUGUCAGAAGGUGUCUGUAUAUAUCCUGUACUUGUAGAACAAUGUUAUGUUUUUAAUUGUUAUCACAGACAAAACUCUGCUGAAAACGUAAGCUGACAAAAGAGCAUGCAGUGACCCACAAUAGCCUCAGGACUUUGGACUAAAAGAGUCACUUUCAGCUCUGGCUUCUUGAGCAGCAGCUCAUUAUAUCUCAUUAAGCACUUCUGAACAUGAACAUUUUUCUUUAUUUAUUGCCUUUGCCUUGCCAGGGUAAUAUACAAUUAUGGUUUCUUAAGACAGAGGUUUUGUUUUAUUUAUUUAUUUUCCCCUCCUAAUUCUUGUGUGAGUAGAGGAAAUUCUUUGGGAAUGAAUAGAAGCUAUUUGGUGUAUAAAAUCUUAUCCUUUUUUGGCUCUCUCUCACAUCGUGUCAUCUAGUUAUUUUUCCGAAUGAUUCCAAUGUGUUUGCCUCAACAAGUCUGCCUGUUGGGGUUAUUAUUAUUAUGCGCUAUUAGUCUUCUCAUAUAUUUUUGCAAGCACAGUUCUACACUUCUGUUCUGAAAUAUAUUUUUCUUUAUUUUCAUAUGGUCCUCCUAUUAACUGGGAGGAAAAAUUGAAUGAAUAUAUAGGUUGAUACAUUGCAUUCACCUGCCUUUUGAAAUUCUAUACCUCUAUUGCAUUUUCUGAAUUUCCAAUAUAUUCUCUCAAUUUGUGAUGACCAGGACCUCUCAAAAACAAGUUUUAAGUCAAGAUAGUCACCCAAAAAUUGAGAACCAAAAUUAAUAGACACUUGAAAAUUUUACCCCAAAUCCUUUUAAUCGUUGAGUUGUCAGUUGUCACCAUCCCUCUGUGUUAUUUUGCCAUUUCAAGUGUUAAUGUACUGUGUUUAAUGUCAAAUGGAUGUAGUAGACUAAUCACACAAUAGGAGCUCUGGAGGCUCUGAAAAAAAAAUCUAGCCACUUAAUUACGUGCCUAAACAUAGAUUUAGAUGGCUAGCAUUAGGCACCCAACUU